CGAGUAAGACAGAUGGUCGCUCCGGCCUUUGGCCGGUGAGGAAAGUCCGGGCUUCACAGGGCAAGAUGCCGGAUAACGUCCGGUUGAGGUGACUCACAGGAAAGUGCAACAGAAAGUAUACCGCCAUACUAGUAUGGUAAGGGUGAAAUGGCGAGGUAAGAGCUCACCGCCUGGCUGGUAACAGACAGGGCAUUGUAAACCCCAUCCGAAGCAAGACCAAGCAGAAGUGUUGACGCGGCCCGCCGAGCUUCAGGUAGGUUGCUAGAGCCCUGCAGUAAUGCAGGGUCCAGAUAGAUGAUCAUCCCGGGGUGCGAAGCACCCUAUGACAUAACCCGGCUUAUAGUCUUACUCGUUUU
RNAcentral lists this RNase P RNA (356 nucleotides) under Eubacterium sp. RNAcentral describes it as "RNase P RNA component class A". It matches the Rfam family "Bacterial RNase P class A". Rfam says of the family: Ribonuclease P (RNase P) is a ubiquitous endoribonuclease, found in archaea, bacteria and eukarya as well as chloroplasts and mitochondria. Its best characterised activity is the generation of mature 5'-ends of tRNAs by cleaving the 5'-leader elements of precursor-tRNAs. Lineage: Bacteria; Bacillati; Bacillota; Clostridia; Eubacteriales; Eubacteriaceae. The record is from RNAcentral.